Molecule: ribosomal RNA, 1370 nt
Filed under: uncultured bacterium
Lineage: Bacteria
Description: bacterial SSU rRNA
Rfam family: Bacterial small subunit ribosomal RNA
Source: RNAcentral
GAUGAACGCUGGCGGCGUGCCUAAUACAUGCAAGUCGAGCGAACGGACGAGAAGCUUGCUUCUCUGAUGUUAGCGGCGGACGGGUGAGUAACACGUGGAUAACCUACCUAUAAGACUGGGAUAACUUCGGGAAACCGGAGCUAAUACCGGAUAAUAUUUUGAACCGCAUGGUUCAAAAGUGAAAGACGGUCUUGCUGUCACUUAUAGAUGGAUCCGCGCUGCAUUAGCUAGUUGGUAAGGUAACGGCUUACCAAGGCAACGAUGCAUAGCCGACCUGAGAGGGUGAUCGGCCACACUGGAACUGAGACACGGUCCAGACUCCUACGGGAGGCAGCAGUAGGGAAUCUUCCGCAAUGGGCGAAAGCCUGACGGAGCAACGCCGCGUGAGUGAUGAAGGUCUUCGGAUCGUAAAACUCUGUUAUUAGGGAAGAACAUAUGUGUAAGUAACUGUGCACAUCUUGACGGUACCUAAUCAGAAAGCACGGCUAACUACGUGCCAGCAGCCGCGGUAAUACGUAGGUGGCAAGCGUUAUCCGGAAUUUAUUGGCGUAAAGCGCGCGUAGGCGGUUUUUUAGUCUGAUGUGAAAGCCCACGGCUCAACCGUGGAGGGUCAUUGGAAACUGGAAAACUUGAGUGCAGAAGAGGAAAGUGGAAUUCCAUGUGUAGCGGUGAAAUGCGCAGAGAUAUGGAGGAACACCAGUGGCGAAGGCGACUUUCUGGUCUGUAACUGACGCUGAUGUGCGAAAGCGUGGGGAUCAAACAGGAUUAGAUACCCUGGUAGUCCACGCCGUAAACGAUGAGUGCUAAGUGUUAGGGGGUUUCCGCCCCUUAGUGCUGCAGCUAACGCAUUAAGCACUCCGCCUGGGGAGUACGACCGCAAGGUUGAAACUCAAAGGAAUUGACGGGGACCCGCACAAGCGGUGGAGCAUGUGGUUUAAUUCGAAGCAACGCGAAGAACCUUACCAAAUCUUGACAUCCUUUGACAACUCUAGAGAUAGAGCCUUCCCCUUCGGGGGGCAAAGUGACAGGUGGUGCAUGGUUGUCGUCAGCUCGUGUCGUGAGAUGUUGGGUUAAGUCCCGCAACGAGCGCAACCCUUAAGCUUAGUUGCCAUCAUUAAGUUGGGCACUCUAAGUUGACUGCCGGUGACAAACCGGAGGAAGGUGGGGAUGACGUCAAAUCAUCAUGCCCCUUAUGAUUUGGGCUACACACGUGCUACAAUGGACAAUACAAAGGGCAGCGAAACCGCGAGGUCAAGCAAAUCCCAUAAAGUUGUUCUCAGUUCGGAUUGUAGUCUGCAACUCGACUACAUGAAGCUGGAAUCGCUAGUAAUCGUAGAUCAGCAUGCUACGGUGAAUACGUUCCCGGGUCU